UGCGGGUUAGUGUAAUAGUAACAUUUUUGACUCAUGAUCAAACGUAAGAGGUGCGAAUCCUUUACCCGCGU
Molecule: transfer RNA, 71 nt
Filed under: Leptographium terebrantis
Lineage: Eukaryota; Fungi; Ascomycota; Sordariomycetes; Ophiostomatales; Ophiostomataceae
Also listed under: 4 other names
Description: tRNA-Met
Rfam family: tRNA
About the family: Transfer RNA (tRNA) molecules are approximately 80 nucleotides in length. Their secondary structure includes four short double-helical elements and three loops (D, anti-codon, and T loops).
Source: RNAcentral